CGCAUCUGUGCAUGCAGCAUAUCAAUAAGCGGAGGAAAAGAAACUAACAAGGAUUCCCCUAGUAACGGCGAGUGAAGCGGGAAGAGCUCAAAUUUGAAAUCUUAAAGGGUUUCCCUUUACGAAUUGUAGUUUAAAGAAGUGUUUUCUGUUGAGGUUUUGGUAAAAGUUCUUUGGAAUAGGACAUCAUAGAGGGUGAGAAUCCCGUAUUUGACCUUUACUUUCAACUUUGUGAUACACUUUCAAAGAGUCGGAUUGUUUGGGAAUGCAGUCCAAAAUGGGUGGUAAAUUUCAUCUAAAGCUAAAUAUUGGCGAGGAGACCGAUAGCGAACAAGUACCGUGAGGGAAAGAUGAAAAGAACUUUGAAAAGAGAGUUAAACAGUACGUGAAAUUGUCAAAAGGGAAGCGUUUGACACCAGUGUUGUUUUUCUGAAAAUCAAUUAAAGAACUGUUUAUGCUAAGUUGUUUAGACUUUAUCAGCUAUCUGUUUAGUUUUGAGCUUUUCUUUAAUGCACUUUUCAGUUAACAAGUCAACAUCAAUUUCUUUUGCUGUAAAAAAGCUUGAGGAAGGUGGCUUGAGAUUCGUCUUAAGUGUUUAUAGCCUCUUGCCUAUGCAGUCGGAGAGAUUGAGGUCUGCAGCGUAGAUCCUUCGGGGCUAAAUGCAUUUGUGCUAAGUUAUAGCAUUUUAUAGACAACUUGUUGACUAUGAUUUGUCUUGUAGCUUACUCGCUUAUGUUAUUUUACCUACGCUUAGGAUGUUGAAGAUAUGCGCGACACG
Molecule: ribosomal RNA, 775 nt
Filed under: uncultured Neocallimastigales
Lineage: Eukaryota; Fungi; Neocallimastigomycota; Neocallimastigomycetes; Neocallimastigales
Description: partial large subunit ribosomal RNA
Rfam family: Eukaryotic large subunit ribosomal RNA
Source: RNAcentral